GGCCCUGUAGUGUAGUGGUUAUCACUCGAGAUUUUGAGGAACAGCGAGUUGUCGUUAGCCACCUCUUCUCGUAACCCCGGUUCGAACCCGGGCAGGACCU
Crucibulum laeve is the source of this 100-nucleotide non-coding RNA. NCBI's taxonomy places the organism in Eukaryota, Fungi, Basidiomycota, Agaricomycetes, Agaricales, Nidulariaceae. The record is from the annotation of a GenBank genome assembly.